UACGGGAGGCAGCAGUGGGGAAUAUUGGGCAAUGGAGGCAACUCUGACCCAGCAACGCCGCGUGAAGGAUGAAGGUCUUCGGAUUGUAAACUUUUGAUAUAGAGGAAGAAGAUAGUGACGGUACUCUAUAAGAAAGCCCCGGCUAACUAUGUGCCAGCAGCCGCGGUAAU
This 170-nucleotide ribosomal RNA is filed under the name uncultured rumen bacterium. RNAcentral's name for it is "partial 16S ribosomal RNA". It matches the Rfam family "Bacterial small subunit ribosomal RNA", at positions 340 to 524 of the family's 1533-position model. The record is from RNAcentral.